Non-coding RNA from Triplophysa dalaica, 306 nucleotides. Lineage: Eukaryota; Metazoa; Chordata; Actinopteri; Cypriniformes; Nemacheilidae. The record is from the annotation of a RefSeq genome assembly.
AUGAGUGAGAUCCUAUGGUAUGGUGAUGCUAAUGAGAAUCCUAUCAGACCAGACAACACAUCUGUGUCUAUAACUGAAGGACACAACAUCACUCUGUCCUGUAAAUAUGAUGGAUCAGCUUACAGUCUUCACUGGUACCGGCAGACGUCUGGAUCAACACCAGAGUUUCUAGUGCUUAUAAUGGAGUCCACUAAACAUAUCACCAAAUCUACUCCACCUCAAGCACACAUGAGCAUCAGACUUCAUGAUAAACACGUGUAUCUGGAGAUCUCCUCUGUUAAAGUCACAGACUCUGCUCUGUAUUAA